Salvia miltiorrhiza (redroot sage) is the source of this 1547-nucleotide RNA transcript. RefSeq lists it as uncharacterized. The record is from RefSeq and is a predicted model, not a curated record. Lineage: Eukaryota; Viridiplantae; Streptophyta; Magnoliopsida; Lamiales; Lamiaceae. The transcript has 6 exons.
AAAACCCUAAUUUCCUAAUACACCCUAGCCAACCCACUCUCUUUCUCUCACCGUUCUCUCUCUUCCACCGCCUUACUCCCUUCAUCGCCGCCAUUCUCCACCGUCCUCGCCGCCGCGUAGCUGUUCGCGCCGCCGUCCUCUCCGCUGAGGCCCUCUAUCCCUUUCUCUUCCGCGAACAGCAGCGGUCCGAGCCGCCGCCGCCGCUGAUGUAUCCUUAUCUGAAACUCCGGCGUCGCUUCUGUAAAAUCUGGCGACUGUUCUUUCCCUCUUUUUCUCUUCAUCUCGGUUUUCCUCUCUAAUCCCUCACUGAAAGCGCGCAAUUGAAGGGAAAAAGUCGAGCCCUAGCUUCUCUCCAGCAGGAGAGGGAGACGGCGCCGCAGACGCUGGUGGUGGGCGGUGGUGUUGGAGGCUGCGGCGGCGGGGGUGUUUGCGGGGGUGGGAGGGGGUCAGAUGACGGGUCGGGUUCCCAGGAUCCGGGAAGCUGGCCCAGGCGUGAGAGCACUGACGUCUACUAUGAGAUGAUGAUACAAGCUAAUCCCGGCAAUGCUCUUCUGCUCGGGAAUUAUGCUAGAUUCUUGAAGGAGGGGAGAUUUGGCAAAGGCAGAGGAGUAUUGUGAGAGGGCGAUUUUGGCGAAUCCAAGUGAUGGUAAUGUGCUAUCACUAUGCGCUGAUCUAAUAUGGCAGACGCAAAGAGAUGCUACUCGAGCUGAGGCCUAUUUUCAUCAAGCUGUCAAAACUCACCCCAAUGACUGCUAUGUUCUGGCUUCGUAUACUCGAUUCUUAUGGGAUGCCGAGGAUGUCGAAGAAGAAGAAGAGGAACAAGUAAACGAUUUGUAUGAAAAAAGAAACAAUCUUCCAUCCAACUUCUUCCUCCGAAAUUUUUAGCGAAUUUCAAUAUUUAGCUUCAAUUUUGAUUUAGUUUUUAUAAAAUCUAACUUUGAGAAAUUAUUUGAUUACAUAUGCAAGAGCUUGUGUCUAAUAGUUUGGUUUUAGAAGCUGCCGCCGCGCCAGAUCGUGCCUUAGCCAAAAAAUGCCAGAGAGAGGACCCAACUACUCGUCGUAUUUGUAUUUGCAAGAAUAUGAUGUUAGGCUAGCUCUGGAUUAGCUGCACCUGCAGAGGACAGUACUUUCAGGGCAGCUGGUGCAUCCCGAAUUGAAUCGUCGUAUAUUGUUGGGUUACGAGAUCUUGAUAUGAAACACGUUAAAGAUUUCAUCUUCAUACACAUAUCUCAUAUGUGGAUGACACUGAAGUUUUCAAGUACUAGUUCUUGGCGGAUCAAGUUGAUGGGAGUCGAUGCACUGUUUUUCAAUCGAGAAUGCAGCCAAAAACUGAGUUAUGAGAUGGAAGGCUAAAGCAGAGAACGUCGUUUCAAAUCUUAUAUUUCAAUCUCUAUACGCAGGUGCAUAUGAUGUAUAGGUGCAUAUGAUCGGUUCCCGUUUUGAGGAAGUAAUUUUUUGUAGUAUUUUGUUGUGCAUGUAGUAAAACAUGUAUUAACAGGCAACUUGUGUUGGAUACUAUGUUAUAUAUGCUAAUAUUAUAUUGUCAA